UAGGGAAUCUUCGGCAAUGGGGGCAACCCUGACCGAGCAACGCCGCGUGAGUGAAGAAGGUUUUCGGAUCGUAAAGCUCUGUUGUAAGAGAAGAACGUGUGUGAGAGUGGAAAGUUCACACAGUGACGGUAACUUACCAGAAAGGGACGGCUAGCUACGUGCCAG
Molecule: ribosomal RNA, 165 nt
Filed under: uncultured bacterium
Lineage: Bacteria
Description: partial 16S rRNA
Rfam family: Bacterial small subunit ribosomal RNA
Source: RNAcentral